GAGUGAACACGCUGAGAAUUCUCGAUGCCAGGCUGCCCAAGGCCACAGUGAGCAUCAGAUAAGGGAGAACUAUUCCUUUGUUCUGAAAAGACUUCAUGACUCAGGGCUGAGCUCAAUCUAAAUGACAUGCAGCAUUAAUUUCAUUUUCUACUUACUAUGUAGUCUAGGGUUCCUCCUGUUUCUCUGCCAUCUAGAGAUCAAUUCAUUUUUAUCAAUAUUUGGGAAAAUCAGUGACAUAAAUCAGCCCUGAUGGCCACAGGCAGAAUCUUGUGGGUGCCCUGCAGUUCACUCCUCGGGGCUGAGGCACCACCUCAUCAUCUUCAUCUGCCCGGGGGAGCCAUGGUAAUUCUCCUCUAGCGACAACCACAGCUCAAGCACCAUAGGCAGAUUCUGCACCCUGAGUCAAGGGCAUGGUGAUUUUAGAGCUCUACUCGUGCCCCUAUGCAUUAGCCAAAGGCAACAAGUGACUCGACCUCAUCCGCAUCCAGAUGUCUGGGUCAAUGCAGUGGAAGGAAGGGGUCAGUGAAGAGGCUGUUGGCGAAGACAGCCAAAGAAGUGCAGUCAUCACAAAAGGAGACAAAAUUUGUGUGUGGGCUCUGAAGAACAGUGCUGUGGAAGGAACCAUUAGAGAUGGCCAGUGUGACUGCUGGGAUUUAGGCCUAGAGAGCGGGAGAAACAGGCCAGGGUCAUGAGUCCUGGCUCCACACAGUCUCUCCACCCUGACCCAGCUCCAGCAUCAAACUUCAGCUGCUACAGAGAAGGCCAGGUGUAUGGAGCAAACAAAGCCUGCAGCCUGGGAGAUUAGGAACCGCUCCCAACAAUGGACUUAAUAACAUCACAUUCAUCACCUGAUUGGAUUCUUCCAACAUGAAGCUCACAGAAGUUCUCUCCCUAGUACCGUCCUGAUUACUCUGAGACCUCCUGGGGACAGGGUCCAAGCCCAAGUCUUCUUCAAGAACACAGGAAAUGGCCCACAGGGGGUUCUCUGGCAAUGUACAGCUAACUCUGCUUCUCAUGUUGUGUACUUCUCAUGUUGAAACUGUUACACACUUUCCAGGUACUAAUUCACUUGGUCCUCGCCACCCACCCUGCAAUCUAGGUAUUACUGUAACCCUCAUUUUACACAAUACAAAACUGAGCUCAUAAAGACUUAACAAGCUACUCCUAGUCACACGUCUAUUAACUGAAGGAGCCACAAUUUGGACCCAGGCAGUCUGGUUCCAAGGCACCUGCUCUUAACCCCCCAAAUACUCGGCCAACAUCUAUGAAUCUGAACUGCACUACAGGACACCACCCAGAGCACCUCGUGGACUCUCUACCCCGAAGGCCAGCAGCACUCCUGGGGGGAUCCCCAGAGAAUUCUUUCGGGACAUAGGGGUAUAGUGGGUCCUGUA
Long non-coding RNA from Pan troglodytes (chimpanzee), 1394 nucleotides. RefSeq lists it as uncharacterized. The transcript is spliced from 3 exons. NCBI's taxonomy places the organism in Eukaryota, Metazoa, Chordata, Mammalia, Primates, Hominidae. The record is from RefSeq and is a predicted model, not a curated record.